RNAcentral lists this ribosomal RNA (254 nucleotides) under uncultured bacterium. Its description in RNAcentral is "partial 16S ribosomal RNA". It matches the Rfam family "Bacterial small subunit ribosomal RNA", at positions 524 to 776 of the family's 1533-position model. The record is from RNAcentral.
UACAGAGGUCUCAAGCGUUGUUCGGAUUCAUUGGGCGUAAAGGGUGCGUAGGUGGCGCCGUAGUACUAGGUGUGAAAUUUCGGAGCUUAACUCCGAAACUGCAUUUGAUACUGCGGUGCUUGAGGACUGGAGAGGAGACUGGAAUUCACGGUGUAGCAGUGAAAUGCGUAGAUAUCGUAAGGAAGACCAGUGGCGAAGGCGAAUCUCUGGACAGUUACUGACACUGAGGCACGAAGGCCAGGGGAGCAAACGGG